Molecule: long non-coding RNA, 673 nt
Filed under: Rattus norvegicus (Norway rat)
Lineage: Eukaryota; Metazoa; Chordata; Mammalia; Rodentia; Muridae
Description: long non-coding RNA NONRATT030738
Source: RNAcentral
UCUUGGGCUUCAUGUGGUCUGGGAAUUGUUUCUUGGGUAUUCCAAGAUUUUGGGCUAAUAUCCACUGAUCAGUGAGUGCAUACCAUGUGUGUUUUUCUGUGAUUGGGUUACCUCACUCAGGAUGGUAUUUUCUAGUUCAUUCCACUUGCCUGUGAAUUUCAUAAAGUCAUUGUUUUUGAUAGCUGAGUAGUACACCAUUGUGUAAAUGUACCACAUUUUCUGUAUCCAUUCCUCUGUUGAAAGGCAUCUGGGCUCUUUCCAGCUUCUGGCUAUUAUAAAUAAGGCUGCUAUGAACAUAGCGGAGCGUGUGUCUUUGUUAUAUGUUGGGGCACCUUUUGGGUAUAUGCCCAAGAGAGGUAUAGCUGGGCCCUCAGGUAGUACAAUGUCCAAUUUUCUGAGGAACCUCCAGACUGAUUUCCAGAGAGGUUGUACCAGUCUGCAAUCCCACCACCAAUGGAGGAGUGUUCCUCUUUCUCCACACCCUUGCCAGCAUCUGCUGUCGCCUGAGUUUUUGAACUUAGCCAUUCUGACUGGAGUGAGGUAAAAUCUCAGGGUUGUUUUGAUUUGCAUUUCCCUGAUGACUUAGAAUGUUGAACAUUUCUUUAGGUGCUUCUAGGUCAUUCGAUGUUCCUCAGCUGAGAAUUCUGUUUAGCUCUGUACUCCAUUUUUUCAU